Long non-coding RNA from Morone saxatilis (striped sea-bass), 1419 nucleotides. RefSeq lists it as uncharacterized. NCBI's taxonomy places the organism in Eukaryota, Metazoa, Chordata, Actinopteri, Moronidae. The transcript is spliced from 3 exons. The record is from RefSeq and is a predicted model, not a curated record.
UGGAGAUAACUUCUGUUAUGAAUUGGCGCUAUACAAAUAAAAUUGAAUUGAAUUGAAUUGAAUUACAACUACAAUAUAAUGUAUUUGUGGAACAUUUCUACAUUUGUUUGUUAAAAGAGGAAAAUCUGAGAUCCUGUCAGUGUAACUUUAUUUCUACCUCUGCCUCUACUGAUAGUUAACCAUUUGAUCCUCCUUGUUGGUAUUGGAGUCAAAGUCAUCAUUGUGCUGUUGCUUACACUGGCCGUUAUCUGGGCAUGGAGGCAUAAAUGUAGUUCUGCUGUGGACAAAGAGGACAACAGCCCUGAAUAUGAAAACAUCAGCCCUGCCUAUAUGGGUCAAAAAGACACGGUUACACAGAAGGAAAUGACUGUUUAAAGAAACUAGAGAAGCAUGAUGACAUUUCAUGACUUCACACAAGGAUAUCUCUGGUCUGUUACAGAGCUCAACCAAAAAACUGCUGGAGUUACACUUGAAGAGUUUGACUCCCUGAUUCCUGUCUGUGUAAAUGCUCCGUCCUUCUCAUGACUCCCUGUAACACUGGAGACACAAGGGUUACGAACUGUAACAUUAUCAAGAAAACUGAGGCCCAGUAGCUCACCUGGUAGAGGUGGUGUGGCCCUUUGCUGUGUGUCAUCUCCUCUGUCUAUCUCUCCUGUCUAUCUUCUGCUGUCCUACUAUUCUAUACUGAUGUUUCAUCAAUGAAAUACCCACAACCAUGCUGUUACUAAAUUAAGCUAUUUUUAUCUGUUUUGAAUAUAGCCCCUCUUGCUAUGAUUACAGCAGUGAUAAUAGUCGUAACAAUUCUAUUAUUAUUGUCUGUAGUUUCUGGUCUGAAAAUAUUGUUGCAGAACAUUUUUCACUGGAGUGACUGGUUUUCUACUGGUACAGCAGACUGAAUCCAGAAUCACUGUGGUCAAAUCAGGAUAUGCUGCCCCCUUGAGUUACAAAUUCUCAUCGUUUUUGUAAACUUGUAAAUGCUUCAGUCUAUCAACUUAUCAGUAGUAUUUCUUUUAUUGACCUUAACCAUAACCUUAAAAAACCUUCCGGAGGUUGGUUUUCCGAUUUCAUUUAAAACAGAUUUUAUUUUCAGUUGUAACAGAAACAACAUACAACAGCAUAGCGUUUAUUGGGUCAAUGCAUUUAAAAAGUUGUUUUAUACUGUAAAAACCAGCAUAUCAUGUCUAGACCACACUGUGAAAAAGUCAUGUAAAUCAGGUGGUGUUGCCAUUCAACCCUUACUCCUUGUUGCAUUCGCAGCAGUCGCUCUAUGGGCCCAAAUAAAUGCUGGCUGCUGUAACAACUGUAUAGAUUAUUGUUGUUGUAUAACACAUAUUGUGACGCCCUCUUGUUAAUCAUCACACUGAUUAUUUUUUUAUUGUUUUGCUAAGCAAUAAACUCUUUCUUGUUUCCAAGGCAUGU